UUGAAAGGGAAACGAUUGAAGUCAGUCGUACCAGCGGGAAAUCAACCUUUCGAGUGGGGUUUUGGAGUUUUGAAGAGUGUCAAAACCUUUGAGAUUUCAAAAUUUCGCUCUUUUGGUGUACUUUCUCGUGGGUAGGUUAACAUCGAUUUUGAUCAUCAUAAAAAGAUUGGAGGAAUGUAGCUUCGAUCUUGUAUUGAAGUGUUAUAGCCUUUGGUAAAUGUGAUGAUUAGGAUCGAGGAUUGCAACGAAUACCCUUUUGGGCUAUCCGCCUGAUCUCUGAUACGUGGCCUUGGUAUCGAAAGCUUGCUUAUGGUAUUAAGGUAUUACGGUCAAAAGGUUAGAACGGAUUACAUUCGUUAAGGAUGUUGACGUA
This 373-nucleotide ribosomal RNA is filed under the name uncultured Glomeromycotina. RNAcentral's name for it is "LSU rRNA". Lineage: Eukaryota; Fungi; Glomeromycota. The record is from RNAcentral.